UUUAAAGUCUAGCCUGCCCAAUGAUAAAUUUAAUGGCCGCAGUAUUUUGACUGUGCAAAGGUAGCAUAAUCAUUAGUUUUUUAAUUGUAAACUGGAAUGAAUGGUUGGAUGAGAAAAUAACUGUCUCGAUUUUAUUUAAAUAGAAUUUUAUUUUUGAGUUAAAAAGCUUAAAUUAUAUAGAAAGACGAGAAGACCCUAUAGAGUUUAAUAUAAUUUACAUAUUUAUAUAAUAAGAAAUUUAAGUUUAUUUAUUUAAGUUUAUAUUUUAUUGGGGUGAUAGAAAAAUUUAAUAAACUUUUUAUGUUUAAUAACAUUAAUAAGUGAAUAAUUGAUCCUAUUUAAAGAUUAUAAGAUUAAAUUACCUUAGGGAUAACAGCGUUAUUUUUUUAGAGAGUUCUUAUCGAAAAAAAAGAUUGCGACCUCGAUGUUGGAUUAAAAUUAAAUUUAGGUGUAGAAGCUUAAAUUUUAGGUCUGUUCGACCUUUAAAUUUUUACA
RNAcentral lists this ribosomal RNA (495 nucleotides) under Paramikadonius crepuscula. Its description in RNAcentral is "partial 16S ribosomal RNA". It matches the Rfam family "Bacterial large subunit ribosomal RNA", at positions 1844 to 2600 of the family's 2925-position model. Lineage: Eukaryota; Metazoa; Arthropoda; Insecta; Coleoptera; Melandryidae. The record is from RNAcentral.